Molecule: transfer RNA, 73 nt
Filed under: Pteropus alecto (black flying fox)
Lineage: Eukaryota; Metazoa; Chordata; Mammalia; Chiroptera; Pteropodidae
Also listed under: 1 other name
Rfam family: tRNA
About the family: Transfer RNA (tRNA) molecules are approximately 80 nucleotides in length.
Source: Rfam by way of RNAcentral
GGUUCCAUGGUGUAGCAGUUAGCACAUCUGCUUUAUGUACAGAAGGUCCUGGAUUCACACCCCAGCGGAGCCA